This 491-nucleotide ribosomal RNA is filed under the name uncultured bacterium. RNAcentral describes it as "bacterial SSU rRNA". It matches the Rfam family "Bacterial small subunit ribosomal RNA", at positions 593 to 1090 of the family's 1533-position model. The record is from RNAcentral.
GGUGAAAGCCUGCAGCUUAACUGCAGAACUGCCAUUGAUACUGUUUAUCUUGAAUAUAGUUGAGGUGGCGGAAUAUGACAUGUAGUGGUGAAAUACUUAGAUAUGUCAUAGAACACCGAUUGCGAAGGCAGCUCACUAAGCUAUGAUUGACGCUGAGGCACGAAAGCGUGGGUAGCAAACAGGAUUAGAUACCCUGGUAGUCCACGCCCUAAACUAUGAUCACUCGAUGUUGGCGAUACACAGUCAGCGUCUAAGGGAAACCAUUAAGUGAUCCACCUGGGGAGUACGACCGCAAGGUUGAAACUCAAAGGAAUUGACGGGGCCCGCACAAGCGGAGGAGCAUGUGGUUUAAUUCGAUGAUACGCGAGGAACCUUACCUGGGCUUGAAAGUUAGUGAAUCUUCCUGAAAGGGGAGAGACCGAAAGGACACGAAACUAGGUGCUGCAUGGCUGUCGUCAGCUCGUGCCGUGAGGUGUUGGGUUAAGUCCCGC